RNAcentral lists this ribosomal RNA (301 nucleotides) under uncultured bacterium. RNAcentral describes it as "partial 16S ribosomal RNA". It matches the Rfam family "Bacterial small subunit ribosomal RNA", at positions 509 to 808 of the family's 1533-position model. The record is from RNAcentral.
CAGUCGGCCGCGGUAAUACGUAGGGUGCGAGCGUUAAUCGGAAUUACUGGGCGUAAAGCGUGCGCAGGCGGUUUUGUAAGACAGGCGUGAAAUCCCCGGGCUCAACCUGGGAAUGGCGCUUGUGACUGCAAAGCUAGAGUGCGGCAGAGGGGGAUGGAAUUCCGCGUGUAGCAGUGAAAUGCGUAGAUAUGCGGAGGAACACCGAUGGCGAAGGCAAUCCCCUGGGCCUGCACUGACGCUCAUGCACGAAAGCGUGGGGAGCAAACAGGAUUAGAUACCCCCGUAGUCCCUGUCUCUUAUA